UGGGGGAUAUUGCACAAUGGGCGAAAGCCUGAUGCAGCGACGCCGCGUGGGGGAUGAAGGCCUUCGGGUUGUAAACUUCUUUUGCUCUGAACAAGGCAUGCCUUUGGGGUGUGUUGAGUGUAGGGGUUGAUUAGCGCCGGCUAACUACGUGCUAGCAGCCGCGGUAAUACGUAGGGCGGGAGCGUUGUCCGGAAUUAUUGGGCGUGAAGGGCUUGUAGGUGGCUGGUUGCGUCUGUCGUGAAAGCUCAUGGCUUAACUGUGGGUUUGCGGUGGGUACGGGUUGGCUUGAGUGCAGUAGGGGAGGCUGGAAUUCCUGGUGUAGCAGUGGAAUGCGCAGAUAUCAGGAGGAAUACCGGUGGCGAAGGCGGGUCUCUGGGCUGUUACUGACGCUGAGGAGCGAAAGCGUGGGGAGCGAACAGG
Molecule: ribosomal RNA, 420 nt
Filed under: Fusobacteriota bacterium
Lineage: Bacteria; Fusobacteriati; Fusobacteriota
Description: Fusobacteria bacterium partial 16S ribosomal RNA
Rfam family: Bacterial small subunit ribosomal RNA
Source: RNAcentral